Molecule: ribosomal RNA, 573 nt
Filed under: Pseudomonas aeruginosa
Lineage: Bacteria; Pseudomonadati; Pseudomonadota; Gammaproteobacteria; Pseudomonadales; Pseudomonadaceae
Description: partial 23S ribosomal RNA
Rfam family: Bacterial large subunit ribosomal RNA
Source: RNAcentral
GCAAAAGCGCGCUUGACUGCGAGACAGACACGUCGAGCAGGUACGAAAGUAGGUCUUAGUGAUCCGGUGGUUCUGUAUGGAAGGGCCAUCGCUCAACGGAUAAAAGGUACUCCGGGGAUAACAGGCUGAUACCGCCCAAGAGUUCAUAUCGACGGCGGUGUUUGGCACCUCGAUGUCGGCUCAUCACAUCCUGGGGCUGAAGCCGGUCCCAAGGGUAUGGCUGUUCGCCAUUUAAAGUGGUACGCGAGCUGGGUUUAGAACGUCGUGAGACAGUUCGGUCCCUAUCUGCCGUGGACGUUUGAGAUUUGAGAGGGGCUGCUCCUAGUACGAGAGGACCGGAGUGGACGAACCUCUGGUGUUCCGGUUGUCACGCCAGUGGCAUUGCCGGGUAGCUAUGUUCGGAAAAGAUAACCGCUGAAAGCAUCUAAGCGGGAAACUUGCCUCAAGAUGAGAUCUCACUGGGAACUUGAUUCCCCUGAAGGGCCGUCGAAGACUACGACGUUGAUAGGCUGGGUGUGUAAGCGUUGUGAGGCGUUGAGCUAACCAGUACUAAUUGCCCGUGAGGCUUGACCA